CCUACGGGCGGCUGCAGUGAGGAAUAUUGGUCAAUGGGCGGGAGCCUGAACCAGCCAAGUCGCGUGAGGGAAGACGGUCCUAUGGAUUGUAAACCUCUUUAGGCGGGGAGCAAUGCCGGGCACGCGUGCCCGGAGGGAGAGUACCCGCAGAAUAAGCAUCGGCUAACUCCGUGCCAGCAGCCGCGGUAAUACGGAGGAUGCGAUCGUUAUCCGGUUGUAUUGGGUUUUAAGGGUGAGUAGGCGGAUUUUUAGGUCAUCGGUAGAAUUGCCGGUCUCAACCCGGGCCGGCCGGUUAACCUGGGGAUCUUGAGUUGGCGAGAAGUAUGCGGAAUGCGUGGUGUAGCGGUGAAAUGCAUAGAUAUCACGCAGAACUCCGAUUGCGAAGGCAGCAUACCGGCGCCCGACUGACGCUGAGGCACGAAAGCGUGGGGAUCGAACAGGAUUAGAUACCCUUGUAGUC
RNAcentral lists this ribosomal RNA (460 nucleotides) under uncultured bacterium. Its description in RNAcentral is "partial 16S ribosomal RNA". It matches the Rfam family "Bacterial small subunit ribosomal RNA", at positions 338 to 795 of the family's 1533-position model. The record is from RNAcentral.